CGCUGAAUCAUGCCCAUGUGCUCUGUUCCUAUCGAGCAUUUGUGAAUGUCACUUGAUCAAAUAGUGCCAAGUGCAGAGCAGGCACAGAUAAUGAUUUUGACACAGUAUAAUUAUUGCAUUAUUUUAUUUUGUAAAGAACAUUUUCCCAAUGUGGUAAAAAAAAGAUUUAUUAAACUAAUGUUUAAAAAUCAGUACAAUGCUCUGUUCCUACUUUGCUUGUAGUAUUGAUAUGCUUAUCAAUUUCCCUCCAUGUCCAUAAAGCUUCUGGCCAAUGAGAUCACACAAAGCAGACAAAGCUGAGGACAUCAAAAGAAAAAGGCACACAGUUUCUUAUACCACACACGUGGUGCAAACAAACUGUGUGGAUACAAUUACUAGCCUGCUAGAAAGCACUGAGCAGAGCCUGCAGGAGCUGCAUCAUCAGGCCCAUCAUGACAUUUAACCUUCAUCAUAGCCUUCUGUUCCUGCUCCACCUCCUCAUCUGAAGGUG
Long non-coding RNA from Silurus meridionalis, 490 nucleotides. RefSeq lists it as uncharacterized. The record is from RefSeq and is a predicted model, not a curated record. The transcript has 3 exons. NCBI's taxonomy places the organism in Eukaryota, Metazoa, Chordata, Actinopteri, Siluriformes, Siluridae.